Paramuricea clavata is the source of this 97-nucleotide non-coding RNA. The record is from the annotation of a GenBank genome assembly. NCBI's taxonomy places the organism in Eukaryota, Metazoa, Cnidaria, Anthozoa, Malacalcyonacea, Plexauridae.
UGGAUUUUAGAUAUAAAAAAAUGGAUCCGAUGGAUCCAAUAUCCAUUGGAUCCAUCAGAUCCGUCGGAUCCUUUUUUUUAUAUAACUAAAAUCCAAU